RNAcentral lists this ribosomal RNA (253 nucleotides) under uncultured Candidatus Rhabdochlamydia sp. RNAcentral's name for it is "partial 16S ribosomal RNA". It matches the Rfam family "Bacterial small subunit ribosomal RNA", at positions 524 to 776 of the family's 1533-position model. The record is from RNAcentral. Lineage: Bacteria; Pseudomonadati; Chlamydiota; Chlamydiia; Parachlamydiales; Candidatus Rhabdochlamydiaceae.
UACGGAGGGUGCAAGCAUUAAUCGGAAUUAUUGGGCGUAAAGGGCGCGUAGGCGGGUAAGAAAGUCAGAUGUGAAAUUCCGAAGCUCAACUUCGGAGCUGCAUUUGAAACUUCUUGUCUUGAGGGUAGGCGGAGAAAAUGGAAUUCCACAAGUAGCGGUGAAAUGCGUAGAUAUGUGGAAGAACACCAGUGGCGAAAGCGGUUUUCUAGCUUAUACCUGACGCUGAGGCGCGAGAGCAAGGGGAGCAAACAGG